RNAcentral lists this ribosomal RNA (292 nucleotides) under uncultured bacterium. Its description in RNAcentral is "partial 16S ribosomal RNA". It matches the Rfam family "Bacterial small subunit ribosomal RNA", at positions 505 to 796 of the family's 1533-position model. The record is from RNAcentral.
GUGCCAGCCGCCGCGGUGAUACGGAGGGUGCAAGCGUUGUCCGGAAUCACUGGGCGUCACGGGUGCGCAGGCGGUGCAGCAAGUCGGAGGCGAAAGCCCGUGGCUCAACCACGGAAGUGCCUUCGAAACUGUUGCUCUUGAGUCCCGGAGAGGUUGCCGGAAUUCGUGGUGUAGCGGUGAAAUGCGUAGAUAUCACGAGGAACACCAGAGGCGAAAGCGGGCAACUGGACGGGUACUGACGCUCAGGCACGAAAGCGCGGGGAGCAAACAGGAUUAGAAACCCCAGUAGUCC